GAUGGAGGUAGGUUUUAUUUCACCUCUCUCAUUUCUUUUAUUUAUCCUGUCCUAAACUAUUUUCUGUUAUCUCUAGACUUCUUCUCAUAUAGGUCUAUACUUUCCAUUCUCUCCCUGAAGACCUUUCCCUGCUAUCAUUCUUCAGUAACAAUAGAAAAACUAGACGUUAAUAAAUUAAUUGGCUGGUCCAUUAUGCACUGUAUCCCAGGUAGGGAAACCCAUUCCCCCCCGAGUUACAGUAUCACAAAAAUCAGGCCAAAAUAUCACAUACACACAAAUCAGUAAUACGCAGUUUUCUCUCUGGAUAGGUUUAGUUACAAAAUGUUAAACUUUUUGUUCUUUCUUUCAAUCAAUCUGUAGGCGUUUAAGGAGAUUGACAAUUUCUACUUCGCGCUCUUUGAUCACAGAGUGAAAUUCAGCAAGGCCAUAAAACAAGGCUUUAAAGCCUGGCAGCACAUUCCCAUACUGGCGCCAUUACCAGAGGUGUCAGACCUAGCGGAGGAGGAUUAUUGAAGACCUAGGCGGUUCACCCGCCAAUGGUGGAAGGCAAAGUUUAUUAAGUACUUCUGCACCUUCUACCAGAGAGGCACCUACACCCUGUAAGGUGCCCUCCUUCCUCUUCCUCCUUCCUAUCCCCCAUCCCUCUUUCCUCCCCCUCCUUCCUUUCACUCCCCGCUCUCUUCUUUCCUCCCCACUCAGCCCCCCUUCACAGCUCCUAACUCCCCCUACCCAUUUCU
Molecule: long non-coding RNA, 737 nt
Organism: Pseudophryne corroboree (corroboree frog)
Lineage: Eukaryota; Metazoa; Chordata; Amphibia; Anura; Myobatrachidae
Exons: 7
Source: RefSeq, a predicted model, not a curated record